Molecule: non-coding RNA, 3219 nt
Organism: Macaca mulatta (Rhesus monkey)
Lineage: Eukaryota; Metazoa; Chordata; Mammalia; Primates; Cercopithecidae
Source: RefSeq, a predicted model, not a curated record
AUGGAGAACGGAGCGGUGUAUAGUCCCACUACCGAGGAGGACCCGGGCCCCGCCAGAGGCCCCCGGAGCGGCCUCGCUGCCUACUUCUUCCUGGGUCGGCUCCCACGGCUCCGGCGCGUUCUCAAGGGCUUGAAGCUGUUGCUCUCUCUGCUGGCCUUCAUCUGUGAAGAAGUUGUAUCACAAUGUACUUUGUGGGGGACUUUAUUUUUUUUUGAGUUUGUAAGCGACAGUGCCUUUCUUCUGAGUCUCCUUAUACUGAUUGUGUAUUACACUCCAUUUUAUGAGAGUUGAUACCACAAAAGUAAAAUCAUCAUAUUUUUAUAUUACUUUGGGAACAGGAUGUGUGUUUUUGUUGGCAUCCAAGAUUUUUGUUUCCACACAUGACAGGACUUCAGCUGAAAUUGCUGCAGUUGUGUUUGGAUUUAUAGCAAGUUUUAUGUUCCUACUUGAGUUUGUCACUAUGCUGUAUGAAAAACGACAGGAGUCCCAGCUGAGAAGACCUGAAAAUAGCACUAGGGCUGAGGCUCUCACUGAACCACUUAAUGCCUAAAGACUCUGGGGAGCAGAUGUUAACUAAGGUAGUGACUCUGCACUGUGGUGCCUGAGCCCUGGCAGAAGCUCUUGUAAAAUUUGUGUAAUUGUUUAAACCACUUCUUUUGGAGAGCAAGAGGAAGGUCACGAAGGCAGUUUUAUCAAUAUUGUGUCAGUCACCACAAAUUAGGCCAGAUAAGUUUUUAAAAUUUUUUAAAAAAUGAUUGAAACUUAUCUUAAAUGGAGAUUUUGGUGGGAGGAGGAGAGAACAAUUGUUUUUUAAAUCACACAGCUCAACGGUUCAUAAAUGACUCUGUCAUUCUGUUACAAGUCAUUCUUUUACUAGGCUUAGCUUCCAAAUUAUGCUUUAUAGCUGUAUAAACAUCAUGAUUAUAUUCAUCUACUUAGAAAUUGUUUUAUUUUAAAAUUAAUUUGCUUAGCUGUUUGUUUUGAUGCUUAGAUUAUGUUGUGUUAAUGGGAAUUUAACGUAUUUAAGAAACCAAUAUUUAAAAUGUUGGUCUAGGUUUUUUUCCUUAACAUAUAUUACCAGGCUUUACUGUAUUUCACUCAGCCUUAAAUGUUACAAUAUUUUUGGAUAACUGUUAUUAAUUCUUUCUGAGACCUUGGUUAUAGCCUAAAAACGUAUGGAGAUGUUGGUAUUUUGUGUGUAUAAAAGCAACAAUAUCAGCAACUUCGUGUUUAUACUGCACCUUGGUUGUUGAUGUCAAGUGAGAAAGAGAUUGUUUUGUAACACAUACAAAAAUGGAAGAAACUGAUACCACACCUAAGUGCCGGAGAUAAGAAAGACUUUUUGCCCAAGACAGUGAAAGUAAUUAUAACAACAAGCUUUGACCACUUACCAAGUAUCUGAAGAGAUGAGUUCAUACUGUGAUUUAGAAAGUGGUUCAAUUCUCGUGUUGGCAUAUGAUUAUUUGUACUAAAAUUAAUACAGCUCUGUGGGUCUUCCUUAGCGUUUUCUUUGAAGCUCGUCUGUUUUUUUAGGACCCCAGCCUUUCGUUUUUCAUAGUUCAAGAUGCCUCUUUUCUGUCGCCUUAUCAGAUAGAAAUGGAGCUAUGUGCUGCUGCUUCAUCUAGCAGAGGUUGGCCUCUGGCUCUGACGCUUACUUUUUGUCAGUUGUCUUUAGGUGGUCCUGAAUCUUGGGCCCUUUUAAUUGUGAAUACUGUGUAGCAGGAUCUUGAGAGUCCUUGUUCUUACAUAGGCGUUGCUCUAGUUUGUCUUUGGCAAGGAACAUCUUAAGAAAGUAAAUAUCCAGGAGACCCUGCCCAGACUAAUCCUGUUGGUGACAUAAGGGAGAAUCAAGCCAUUCUCAAGAGAUAACUUCAUAACCAGAACUGUCUGUUGGCUAGCAGCUAUCACAGAUAGGCAGGGCACUUGGGAUACGACCUUUCUGUCCAGGUGUUUCACAGACUAGACCUUUCUUAUCCUCCUCCUAGAGUUUUGACCUGGGACUCUAGUGUUAAGAUCAUGAGCCCGUACAUCAGGUCCUUCUGCACUUUGGUAGAAGUCUCCCAGGGUAGGUUUCCUAUUUGAAACAGUGGAAUCAUGUUUCCAGGAAAAAAGUUUAAUGACUUCAUCCUUUUUUUUUUUUUUCCUCAUCUGGCAUUUGUGUGUCGUAGAUGGGUUUUAGUUUCAUGAAUGUGACUAAUGUGGUUCUCAGAAAUUGGUCAGUAUGGCCUGACAUAGCUUCUGCUCUGUCUUACUGACUCAAUACCUUUAGGAUUUGUGUCAGUUUGGAUACUAGUGUUAGUGGUGAUGUCACCACUACUUAAUUGGAAGAUAAUGAAACCAAUCAUAGAUGCUGUUUUUAUUGGGCAUGUCAUCUAAGAAAGGAGAAAUAGCUGAGUCUUGGGUCUAAGAAUAAGGACUGAUUCAGAAAACUAGUUUAUGAUAGGUAGACUAGAGUUUCACAUCAAACUGUACCAUUGUGAUUUUUAAUGUCAUCUAGACCUAUCUAAAAUUCAGAGCAUAUCAUCUGGGCUACCUCAGGGUCACCACCCAUGCAUUGGGCUUAGUCAAGAUUGACAGAUACGUUCUCAGCGGGCCUGUCAUAUAGAACAUCUUGUCAUUGAGCUUAAGCUCUGCUUGUUCUGAGGUUUCACUUCCAUGUGUUUCAUUGGUGCAAAAAUGGAUCUCUUAGUCGGUCACUUAAUUCUUUCUUUUUCAGAAAGACAGUAUGUUCACUGGUAUAUUUGGUCACUCUUAGAGACUUCUUUCACAUUGUUUUUUAUGGGACCCAUGAAUGGUUGGCCUUUCUUUUCUAUUGUAGAAGGAAAUAGGAGUAAAAUGACCAUUGUAGUAAAUACGUUCAAGGGGAACUUGGGACCAGAAACCACUGUUAUGUACAAAAAAUGGCAAACUCAAUAAACUCAAAUUUAAAAUAAUUUUUAAAUUAAUAGUUAUAAUACAUUUAAUUUUAUAUUUUAUACAAAUAGAUUGCUUAGAAUAGUUCUCAAGAAUUAUAAGGGAAAUGAACUCACAGUACAAAAAUUUUAUAAUUACUAUACUUAAAUUAUGUUUUGUUUGGAAGCUGGGAAAUGUAUUUUUACAUUGUAGCCAAUCGUUUUUAUAUUUGUCAAUUUAAAUCUUAUGGGUCUUUUUUAAAUCUCUCUUGAUGUCAAAUUUUGUAGUUUUAAAAAAUAAAUCCAUUUAAUUAAAAUGUUAAAAAAA